RNAcentral lists this long non-coding RNA (222 nucleotides) under Elaeis guineensis (African oil palm). RNAcentral's name for it is "long non-coding RNA (EGUI_LNC037804)". Lineage: Eukaryota; Viridiplantae; Streptophyta; Magnoliopsida; Arecales; Arecaceae. The record is from RNAcentral.
UUAUGGAAUUAUGCAAUACAAGAAGAAAAAAUGGCCAGAUUUGAUAGUUUGUCAAGGGUAAAUUGAUUUGUUUCACUUUUUAAGUUUUAUGAUUAAGUAUCUAAUUUUCUAAGUAAAUUAUGAGGUAUCAAUGUAGAGAUUUUUUUUUCUAAAAGAAAGUAAGUUUGACUAAGGAACUAAACAAAUUAGAAAAUAAAUAAAAAGAAACUAAGAAUAAGACUA